This 261-nucleotide ribosomal RNA is filed under the name uncultured bacterium. Its description in RNAcentral is "partial 16S ribosomal RNA". It matches the Rfam family "Bacterial small subunit ribosomal RNA", at positions 92 to 354 of the family's 1533-position model. The record is from RNAcentral.
CGACCGGCGCACGGGUGCGUAACGCGUAUGCAACCUACCAUAAACAGGGGGAUAACACUGAGAAAUUGGUACUAAUACCCCAUAAUAUCUCAUGCGGCAUCGCAUGGGGUUGAAAACUCCGGUGGUUGAUGAUGGGCAUGCGUUGUAUUAGCUGGUUGGUGAGGUAACGGCUCACCAAGGCGACGAUACAUAGGGGGACUGAGAGGUUAACCCCCCACAUUGGUACUGAGACACGGACCAAACUCCUACGGAAGGCAGCAG